GGAGAGGUGGCUGAGUGGUCGAAAGCGCUCCCCUGCUAAGGGAGUAUACCCCUAACGGGGUAUCGAGGGUUCGAAUCCCUCCCUCUCCG
Molecule: transfer RNA, 89 nt
Filed under: Balneolaceae bacterium
Lineage: Bacteria; Pseudomonadati; Balneolota; Balneolia; Balneolales; Balneolaceae
Also listed under: 1 other name
Description: tRNA-Ser
Rfam family: tRNA
About the family: Transfer RNA (tRNA) molecules are approximately 80 nucleotides in length. Their secondary structure includes four short double-helical elements and three loops (D, anti-codon, and T loops). Further hydrogen bonds mediate the characteristic L-shaped molecular structure. tRNAs have two regions of fundamental functional importance: the anti-codon, which is responsible for specific mRNA codon recognition, and the 3' end, to which the tRNAs corresponding amino acid is attached (by aminoacyl-tRNA synthetases). tRNAs cope with the degeneracy of the genetic code in two manners: having more than one tRNA (with a specific anti-codon) for a particular amino acid; and 'wobble' base-pairing, i.e. permitting non-standard base-pairing at the 3rd anti-codon position.
Source: RNAcentral